CCUACGUGAGUCAGCAGUUGGGAAUAUUUGACAAUGUGGGAAACCCUGAUCCAUCGACGCCGCGUGAGUGAAGAAGUAUUUCGGUACGUACAGCUCUAUCAGCAGGAAAGACAAUGACGGUACCUGACUAAGAAUCCCCGGCUAACUACGUGCCAGCAGCCGCGGUAAUACGUAGGGGGCAAGCGUUAUCCGGAUGUACUGGGUGUAAAGUGAGCGUAGACGGCAGCGCAAGUCUGGAGGGAAAUGCCGGGGCCCAACCCCGGAACUGCUCUGGAAACUGUGAAGCUGGAGUGCAGGAGAGGUAAGCGGAAUUCCUGGUGUAGCGGUGAAAUGCGUAGAUAUCAGGAGGAACACCGGCGGCGAAGGCGGCUUACUGGACUGUAACUGACGUUGAGGCUCGAAGGCGUGGGGAGCAAACAGGAUUAGAUACCCUUGUAGUC
This 440-nucleotide ribosomal RNA is filed under the name uncultured bacterium. RNAcentral describes it as "partial 16S ribosomal RNA". It matches the Rfam family "Bacterial small subunit ribosomal RNA", at positions 338 to 795 of the family's 1533-position model. The record is from RNAcentral.